GUUCUGCUCAAUGAAUAUUAUUAAAUAGCUGCAGUAUUUUGACUGUACAAAGGUAGCAUAAUAAAUUGUUUUUUAAUUGAAAACUAGAAUGAAUGAAUUAAUGAAAUAAAAACUUUAUUUAAAUAAAAAAUUGAAUUUUAUUUUUAAGUUAAAAAGCUUAAAUGAAUUUAUAAGACGAUAAGACCCUAUAGAAUUUUAUUUAUUAUAAAAAAAUUAAUUUUAUAAUUAAUUGAUUUAAUUUAUAAUAAAUUUUUUUGGGAGGAAAAUUAAAUUUAAUAAACUUUUAUAAAUUAUUUACAAUUAUAAUUGUUAAUUAAGUUAAUGAAUUUAUUUUAUUAUAAUAAUUAAAUUAAAUUACCUUAGGGAUAACAGCGUAAUAUUUUUGGAUAGUUCAUAUUGAUAAAAAUGUUUACGACCUCGAUGUUGAAUUAAGAUAAAAUUUAUAAGUAGAAGUAUAAAAUUUAAGUCUGUUCGACUUUUAAAAUCUUACAUGAUUUGAGUUCAAAUC
This 508-nucleotide ribosomal RNA is filed under the name Anisepyris subviolaceus. RNAcentral's name for it is "partial 16S ribosomal RNA". The stretch from base 365 to 508 matches the Rfam family "Archaeal large subunit ribosomal RNA", at positions 2542 to 2686 of the family's 2987-position model. Lineage: Eukaryota; Metazoa; Arthropoda; Insecta; Hymenoptera; Bethylidae. The record is from RNAcentral.